AUUUUUACUAGUGGGACCAUACGAGAAACAUUUUGCUUACACAGGUUGUUGAUGCCAGUGUUAUGUCACGGUUUGCCACUACUGGCACUUGUUUCAGCCACUCCUGGGCCCUGGAAGACCCCAGUUCAGAAAUGCAGUGACUACAAUCCCCAGCUACCUGAGGCUCACCUCAGUAUGACUUGCUCUUUAAGAAACUGGAUUACCUAGAACUAAGAAUAAUAUCUGAAGGCAGAGUUUCUUUACCUCAAGAAAAGCAUCAAAAAUGCAGUUGAAUUACCCCAUCCAUUAACCAUAGGAAAAAAGAAAAGAUGCGAGACAUAAAAACCAUGAAUAUGUGAGGAAAUAUGUCAGGAGAUACACAUGGAUAACAUGUUUGUACCUCUAUUUAACUCUACUUGUUGAAAAAUACAAACAUUUAUAUUGAAUGUCUGAAAUUUAAUCUUUGUAUGAUGCAAGUUUGCCCUAGUUAAAAAGAUAGGGUAUAUGAUGAUGUGCAAAAGGCAGCAGGAUUGCUGCCUGCAUUUUUUCCCAUGAAAAUAGCAGAUAGGACAUCAAUUUACCUUAUAAAAUGAUUCAUUAGUUGGGAUGAAGUUCAGUUAAAUUCUAUGAAAACUUAGAUAAUGAAUACUGGGCCAUACUAAACUCCAGCAGAUAGAGAUUUCCCUAGAAUCACAAUAUAAAAGAGGGAAAUC
This is a long non-coding RNA of Pezoporus flaviventris, 692 nucleotides long. RefSeq lists it as uncharacterized. The record is from RefSeq and is a predicted model, not a curated record. Lineage: Eukaryota; Metazoa; Chordata; Aves; Psittaciformes; Psittacidae. The transcript has 3 exons.